Molecule: ribosomal RNA, 118 nt
Filed under: Pteropus alecto (black flying fox)
Lineage: Eukaryota; Metazoa; Chordata; Mammalia; Chiroptera; Pteropodidae
Source: RNAcentral
GUCCAUGGCCAUGCCACCCUGAACAAGCCCGAUCCUGUCUGAUCUUGAAAGCUAAGCAGGUUGGGCCUGGUUAGUACUUGGAUGGGAGACCACCUGGGAAGACCAGGUGCUGUAGGUG